Molecule: ribosomal RNA, 301 nt
Filed under: uncultured bacterium
Lineage: Bacteria
Description: partial 16S ribosomal RNA
Rfam family: Archaeal small subunit ribosomal RNA
Source: RNAcentral
CAGUAGCCGCGGGAAUACCAGCAGCCCAAGUGGUGGUCGCGAUUAUUGGGCCUAAAGCGCUCGUAGCCGGGCCGGUAAGUCCCUUGUGAAAUCGGACGGCCUAACCGUUCGGCGUGCAAGGGAUACUGUCGGUCUUGAGGCCGGGAGACGUCCGAGGUACUCCGGGGGUAGCGGUGAAAUGUUCUGAUCCUCGGGGGACCACCGGUGGCGAAGGCGUUCGACGAGAACGGGCCUGACGGUGAGGGGCGAAGGCUAGGGGAGCAAACGGGAUUAGAUACCCCCGUAGUCCCUGUCUCUUAUU